Molecule: ribosomal RNA, 116 nt
Organism: Vagococcus penaei
Lineage: Bacteria; Bacillati; Bacillota; Bacilli; Lactobacillales; Enterococcaceae
Source: Rfam
UGUGGUGGUGAUGGCAAGAAGGAUACACCUGUAACCAUGCCGAACACAGCAGUUAAGCUUCUUAGCGCCGAGGGUAGUGAAGGGUUUCUCUUUGUGAGAGUAGGACGCUGCCACGC